UGAGGAAUAUUGGUCAAUGGACGGAAGUCUGAACCAGCCAAGUAGCGUGCAGGAUGACGGCCCUAUGGGUUGUAAACUGCUUUUGUAUGGGGAUAAAGUUAGGGACGUGUCCCUAUUUGCAGGUACCAUACGAAUAAGGACCGGCUAAUUCCGUGCCAGCAGCCGCGGUAAUACGGAAGGUCCAGGCGUUAUCCGGAUUUAUUGGGUUUAAAGGGAGCGUAGGCCGGAGAUUAAGUGUGUUGUGAAAUGUAGACGCUCAACGUCUGACUUGCAGCGCAUACUGGUUUUCUUGAGUACGCACAACGUUGGCGGAAUUCGUCGUGUAGCGGUGAAAUGCUUAGAUAUGACGAAGAGCUCCGAUUGCGAAGGCAGCUGACGGGAGCGCAACUGACGCUGAAGCUCGAAGGUGCGGGUAUCGAACAGGAUUAGAUACCCUGGUAGUCCGCACAGUAAACGAUGGAUGCCCGCUGUUGGUACCUGGUAUCAGCGGCUAAGCGAAAGCAUUAAGCAUCCCACCUGGGGAGUACGCCGGCCGG
RNAcentral lists this ribosomal RNA (536 nucleotides) under uncultured bacterium. Its description in RNAcentral is "bacterial SSU rRNA". It matches the Rfam family "Bacterial small subunit ribosomal RNA", at positions 355 to 894 of the family's 1533-position model. The record is from RNAcentral.